Molecule: long non-coding RNA, 389 nt
Organism: Nematolebias whitei (Rio pearlfish)
Lineage: Eukaryota; Metazoa; Chordata; Actinopteri; Cyprinodontiformes; Rivulidae
Exons: 5
Source: RefSeq, a predicted model, not a curated record
CAUUUCCUGGUGUCGCACAAACUGCUUGUCAACGAAAUCGAGGUUGUGGAGGGAUUUCUAUGUUUGCUGUGUCAAAGGAGGCUGUCGAGGGAUGAAUCGCAUGCUCAUGUAUUCAGUCACGAGCAUGUAACAACAUUUCUGGACUGUUUUCACCCCAACUCACUGAAUCCCAGCACUGACAGCGCAGAGACGCUUCUGGACCUGGCAAAACAGGCGGCACGUAUUCACACAGUGUCUAAUAUUCAGGUAAUAAACCUAAGCCUUCCUAUGUGGGAGCCCUGCACCUACCAAAAAGCAAUAAAAAUCUUAACAGCUGCAAAGCAGAGAGAAGGAAGAGGAGGUCUUUUUCCACCAAUAAAACCCAGGAUGAAGCUGGUUCCCAGAAAAAC